RNAcentral lists this ribosomal RNA (460 nucleotides) under uncultured bacterium. RNAcentral describes it as "partial 16S ribosomal RNA". It matches the Rfam family "Bacterial small subunit ribosomal RNA", at positions 338 to 795 of the family's 1533-position model. The record is from RNAcentral.
CCUACGGGAGGCAGCAGUGAGGAAUAUUGGUCAAUGGACGAGAGUCUGAACCAGCCAAGUAGCGUGAAGGAUGACUGCCCUAUGGGUUGUAAACUUCUUUUAUAUGGGAAUAAAAUGUUCCACGUGUGGGAUUUUGUAUGUACCAUAUGAAUAAGGAUCGGCUAACUCCGUGCCAGCAGCCGCGGUAAUACGGAGGAUCCGAGCGUUAUCCGGAUUUAUUGGGGUUAAAGGGAGCGUAGGUGGAUUGUUAAGUCAGUUGUGAAAGUUGGGGGCUCAACCGUAAAAUUGCAGUUGAAACUGGCAGUCUUGAGUACAGUAGAGGUGGGCGGAAUUCGUGGUGUAGCGGUGAAAUGCUUAGAUAUCACGAAGAACUCCGAUUGCGAAGGCAGUUCACUGGACUGCAACUGACGCUGAGGCUCGAAAGUGUGGGUAUCAAACAGGAUUAGAUACCCGUGUAGUC